This 209-nucleotide ribosomal RNA is filed under the name uncultured bacterium. RNAcentral describes it as "partial 16S ribosomal RNA". It matches the Rfam family "Bacterial small subunit ribosomal RNA", at positions 1292 to 1500 of the family's 1533-position model. The record is from RNAcentral.
UUCGGAUUGUAGUCUGCAACCCGACUACAUGAAGCCGGAAUCGCUAGUAAUCGCGGAUCAGAAUGCCGCGGUGAAUACGUUCCCGGGUCUUGUACACACCGCCCGUCACACCAUGGGAGUCGGGAAUGCCCGAAGUCAGUGACCCAACCUUAGGGAGGGAGCUGCCGAAGGCAGGCCUGGUGACUGGGGUGAAGUCGUAACAAGGUAUC